AGAUGGAUAGCCUCACCAGCCGGGUUGGUGAAGGUCAACGUCGAUGGAGCGGUGGCAAGGCGCGGCCGUGGCGGGGCCGUUGCCGCAGUAUGCCGAGACCACACGGGUCUAUAUCUAGGGUCCUCGACGGUGGUUUAUAAUGGAGUUUUUGAUCCGACGAUCUUGGAAACUUAUGCGUGCAGGGAGGCUCUGGCACUUGCUAGUGAUCUGCAAGUGUCACAUAUGAUAAUAGCAUCGGAUUGCCAAGGUGUGGUCAAUGACAUCAACCAAGGAACAGGAGGCCCGCACUCUGCGAUCAUCCAGGAGAUUUUGGGGCAUAGAAAUAUGUUCACUUCUGUUUCCUUUGUUCAUGAGCGUAGAAAUUUUAAUUUCGAGGCUCACAAUCUUGCCAAAUUAGCUUGUAAUCUUCAGUUUGGUAGACAUUUAUGGUUGGUCACCCUUAUGACCAACGUAUUGUACCCAUGA
RNAcentral lists this ribosomal RNA (465 nucleotides) under Triticum aestivum (bread wheat). Its description in RNAcentral is "partial small subunit ribosomal RNA". Lineage: Eukaryota; Viridiplantae; Streptophyta; Magnoliopsida; Poales; Poaceae. The record is from RNAcentral.